CAGAAGGACAGAGUGAGCACAGCAUGUGUCUCCUUCCUGAACACCAAAAAGGCAGCUUCUGUCCAGAGUAUCUGAAGACGUGUGUGAAGGUAAAACUACAGAAGGAAAUCUGGAGUGGGGAAACUUGCCAGCAACUCCAGUCAGGGGUGAUGAGCUCCCUGCUGAUCCAUCCUCGGUGCCAGGCAGGUUUACCAUUACUGGGCUAGGGAAGGAUAUUCUAGCAGUGAUUGAUUUUACUGGAAAGCAGAUGGAAGAGAGAAUAAGUGGAAUGGCC
Molecule: long non-coding RNA, 274 nt
Organism: Harpia harpyja (harpy eagle)
Lineage: Eukaryota; Metazoa; Chordata; Aves; Accipitriformes; Accipitridae
Exons: 3
Source: RefSeq, a predicted model, not a curated record